RNAcentral lists this ribosomal RNA (504 nucleotides) under uncultured bacterium. RNAcentral describes it as "partial 16S ribosomal RNA". It matches the Rfam family "Bacterial small subunit ribosomal RNA", at positions 30 to 523 of the family's 1533-position model. The record is from RNAcentral.
AUUGAACGCUGGCGGCAGGCCUAACACAUGCAAGUCGAGCGGUAGCACAGGGAGCUUGCUCCUGGGUGACGAGCGGCGGACGGGUGAGUAAUGUCUGGGAAACUGCCUGAUGGAGGGGGAUAACUACUGGAAACGGUAGCUAAUACCGCAUAACGUCGCAAGACCAAAGAGGGGGACCUUCGGGCCUCUUGCCAUCAGAUGUGCCCAGAUGGGAUUAGCUAGUAGGUGGGGUAACGGCUCACCUAGGCGACGAUCCCUAGCUGGUCUGAGAGGAUGACCAGCCACACUGGAACUGAGACACGGUCCAGACGCCUACGGGAGGCAGCAGUGGGGAAUAUUGCACAAUGGGCGCAAGCCUGAUGCAGCCAUGCCGCGUGUAUGAAGAAGGCCUUCGGGUUGUAAAGUACUUUCAGCGGGGAGGAAGGUGUUGAUGUUAAUAACCUCAGCAAUUGACGUUACCCGCAGAAGAAGCACCGGCUAACUCCGUGCCAGCCGCCGCCGUAA